CAAAAGUUUUAUUCUUGCUUAGAAUGAUUUAUGUAGAGUUUGUUUAUUUUACAUGUAAGUUUUGAGGGCGAGAAAGGUAAAUUGUGGUUUUCUUAAUGAAGAUCAUUAGGAUAGGAGAAGAAUAUGCAGUAUUUAGUUUUAUAUAUUAAGGAAGUUUAGAUUUAGCAAAUUUAGUAGCGUCGGCAAAAAUCGUGCCAGCCGCCGCGGUUACACGAAGGAUGCAAGUAAAUAAAGUCGGUCUGCAGUUAGAUUUUUAAUAAUUAAAGUGGGGAUUAUAGUUGAAUUUUUUUAGGUGGAAUUUUAAGUUUGAGUUAGUUUCUGAGAAGAUGGAUUGAAGCUGUGAAAUUUAAAGAUUAAACUAGGAUUAGAUACCCUACUAUUGUAAAUGUAAAAAAGUUUAGACCUGAGUAGUAAUAGUUAUGUUCUUGAAACUCAAAGAAUUUGGCGGUACUUUAGUCCUUUCAGAGGAACCUGCCCCUUAAUCGAUAUUCCUCGUUAGAUCUCACUUGGUCUUGUAGCAGUUUGUAUACCGCCGUCGUCAGAAUGUUCUUGUAGGAUAUAAAUUUUCGUGAAUUGUGAUGAAUAAAAGAGAUGUCAGGUCAAGGUGCAGCUUAUGAUCAAGAGGAGGUGGGUUACAUUAAGUGAAUUUAAACGGAUAAUGAUUUGAAAGUUAAGUUGUUUGAAGGUGGAUUUGAUUGUAAUUUUUUAGAUUAAGUUAUUUUGAUUCUUGGCUCUAAAGUAUGCACACAUCGCCCGUCGCUCUCGUUCGUUUAAGGCGAGAUAAGUCGUAACAUAGUAGAUGUACCGGAAGGUGUAUCUGGAAAGAUUA
This 829-nucleotide non-coding RNA is filed under the name Acroneuria hainana. RNAcentral describes it as "12S ribosomal RNA". The stretch from base 406 to 820 matches the Rfam family "Microsporidia small subunit ribosomal RNA", at positions 752 to 1303 of the family's 1311-position model. The record is from RNAcentral. Lineage: Eukaryota; Metazoa; Arthropoda; Insecta; Plecoptera; Perlidae.